Molecule: transfer RNA, 74 nt
Filed under: Microbotryum lychnidis-dioicae p1A1 Lamole
Lineage: Eukaryota; Fungi; Basidiomycota; Microbotryomycetes; Microbotryales; Microbotryaceae
Description: tRNA-Ile (AAT) (tRNA-Ile-AAT-1-1, tRNA-Ile-AAT-1-2)
Rfam family: tRNA
About the family: Transfer RNA (tRNA) molecules are approximately 80 nucleotides in length. Their secondary structure includes four short double-helical elements and three loops (D, anti-codon, and T loops).
Source: RNAcentral
GCCCGGUUGAUCUAGUCGGUUAUGAUGCAGACCUAAUAAGUCUGAUGUCGGCGGUUCGAUCCCGCCACUGGGCA